RNAcentral lists this ribosomal RNA (278 nucleotides) under uncultured prokaryote. RNAcentral's name for it is "partial 16S ribosomal RNA". It matches the Rfam family "Bacterial small subunit ribosomal RNA", at positions 524 to 801 of the family's 1533-position model. The record is from RNAcentral.
UACGUAGGGGGCGAGCGUUGUCCGGAUUUACUGGGCGUAAAGGGUGAGUAGGCGGUUGUAUAUGUCAGGUGUAAAAGGCUAUGGCUUAACCAUGGUUAGCACUUGAAACUGUACAACUUGAGUGCAGGAGAGGUAAGUGGAAUUCCUAGUGUAGCGGUGAAAUGCGUAGAUAUUAGGAGGAACACCAGUGGCGAAGGCGACUUACUGGACUGUAACCGACGCUGAGUCACGAAAGCGUGGGUAGCAAACAGGAUUAGAUACCCGGGGUAGUCCCUGAG